This is a transfer RNA of Verruconis gallopava, 97 nucleotides long. It matches the Rfam family "tRNA". From Rfam's summary of the family: Transfer RNA (tRNA) molecules are approximately 80 nucleotides in length. Their secondary structure includes four short double-helical elements and three loops (D, anti-codon, and T loops). Lineage: Eukaryota; Fungi; Ascomycota; Dothideomycetes; Venturiales; Sympoventuriaceae. The record is from Rfam.
GGAGCAUUGGCGCAAUGGUAGCGCGUCAGAUUCCAGAGAAGUACUUCGGUACUUCGGGAUAUCCUGAAGGUUAGCGGUUCAACUCCGCUAUGCUUCA